This 81-nucleotide small RNA is filed under the name Marmota monax (woodchuck). The record is from RNAcentral. Lineage: Eukaryota; Metazoa; Chordata; Mammalia; Rodentia; Sciuridae.
GCUGGGGUGGUGGUGCAUGCUUGUAAUCCCAGUGGCUUGGAGGCUGAGGCUGGAGGAUCACAAGUUCAAAGCCAGCCUCAU